GGAAUCUUGCACAAUGGGCGAAAGCCUGACGCAGCAACGCCGCGUGCGGGAUGAAGGCCUUCGGGUUGUAAACCGCUUUCAGUGGGGACGAACCAAGACGGUACCCACAGAAGAAGCCCCGGCCAACUACGUGCCAGCAGCCGCGGUAACACGUAGGGGGCAAGCGUUGUCCGGAUUCAUUGGGCGUAAAGAGCUCGUAGGCGGUUCGAUAAGUCGGGUGUGAAACCUCCAGGCUCAACCUGGAGACGCCACCCGAUACUGUCGUGACUAGAGUCCAGUAGGGGAGCGUGGAAUUCCUGGUGUAGCGGUGAAAUGCGCAGAUAUCAGGAGGAACACCAGCGGCGAAGGCGGCGCUCUGGGCUGAUACUGACACUGAGGAGCGAAAGCGUGGGUAGCAAACAGGAUUAGAUACCCGGGUAGUCCCUGAGCGGGCUGGCAAGGCGCAU
This 446-nucleotide ribosomal RNA is filed under the name uncultured bacterium. Its description in RNAcentral is "bacterial SSU rRNA". It matches the Rfam family "Bacterial small subunit ribosomal RNA", at positions 358 to 825 of the family's 1533-position model. The record is from RNAcentral.